Long non-coding RNA from Solenopsis invicta (red fire ant), 928 nucleotides. RefSeq lists it as uncharacterized. NCBI's taxonomy places the organism in Eukaryota, Metazoa, Arthropoda, Insecta, Hymenoptera, Formicidae. The transcript has 4 exons. The record is from RefSeq and is a predicted model, not a curated record.
UUACGGUUUCUGAAACGAGAAUCGUGAUAGCCCCCCUGAGAAGGUGCAAUUGGUGUUGCAAAAGCGAAUUGGUAUUUAAUCAACGAGAUUCAGAGACGGAAGCACAAGCCCAGGAUGAUCCUUCCCGAGAAAGCAGUCUCCGUACUUCGUCUGGAACCAAGAUUCAUAACUCCAGCGAUUAGAACCUGUUCGGAUGCACUCAAAUGCAAAGUUUGUCGUGCCAUGAGAUAUUUUCCUCCUGAACAAUGCAGUAUGGUCAAUGUUAAAGUGAUCGGGUGUUUACUGUUUGUAUGUGAUGGCGACACACUAUAGUUAUACCGGUGAUUCAAGAACAGAUUUGAAUAUUCCAUCUGCGACUUGCUCUCUUUGGCGAAAGGAUAUUUCUUGAUGCAUUCGACUUUAUUUGAUAAUCUAACGAGUUUGUAUGAAAAUGUCUUAGAAGUAUGGGAGAACAUACAGAGGAAUGCCAUUGAAAUGCAUGCUCAAGAUAAAAUUAUACUGAGUCCUGCGGAUAGUUGGUUACAUUUGUAGACUCGACGCAAUUAGAAACAUAUCUAAACCACAGUAGGACAAAGGAUAAAAAAUUUGAUCAAGAUCUUAUGAUUCUGCGAUAAAGAAUGCGAUGUUUUCCUCCAAAAAUGCACUCCAUCAACGUUGCCAAACCAGCAACGUUGAUGGAGUGCAUUUCUUAGGGUAUGAUUUCUGGAGUAGAAUAUCUGUCAGAAGGGAAUAGAGUCAAUUAUGAUAAAUAUACUAAUCAUGAUUUAUUCUAACCAUGUUUUAAUCUGAAACUGUACAUAAUAAAAUUCCCAUUAUGCAAAAUACCUUGUACCAUACAAAAAAAUCUAUUUGUAAUACAGGUAAAAUUAUAUUGUUACUGCAAAGAGCUAUUGUUACAAUUGUAUAAUCAAUAAAUCUUCCAUUUAAU